Molecule: non-coding RNA, 130 nt
Filed under: Alteromonas profundi
Lineage: Bacteria; Pseudomonadati; Pseudomonadota; Gammaproteobacteria; Alteromonadales; Alteromonadaceae
Also listed under: 1 other name
Source: RNAcentral
CCUUCGUAUUGCCGAAGGUUUCCUAUUUCGACAUGCGUUACUAGCAAUGGUGAGGUGUGAAGCUCGAAAGACAAUGUAGCCUUAAGUUCAACAGUGAUGUUGAACAAACUGCAAGCAUCAUGCGGUUGGG